AGUGAACGCUGGCGGUAGGCCUAACACAUGCAAGUCGAACGGCAGCACACUAAUAUCUUGCUCUUACGGGGUGCCAAUGGCGUACGUGUCAGGAAUACAUCGUAAUCUACUUUUUCGUGUGGGAUCACGUAGGUAAACUUACUCUAAUACCGCAUACGACCUACCGUUGAAAGCAGUGGAUCUUCUCACCUUGUGCGUUUGAAUUAGCCGAUGUCGUAUUAGCUAGUUGGCUGGGUAAAGGCCCACCAAGGCGACGAUCCGUAGCUGGUCUGAGAGGAUGAUCAGCCAGACUGGAAGUGAGACAGGGUCCAGAGUGCUACGGGAGGGAGCAGUGGGGAAUAUUGGACAAUGAGCGGAAGCCUGAUCAAGACAUACGGAGUGGGGGAAGAAGGACUUCGGGUUGUAAAGCCCUUUUGUUGGGAAAGAAAAGGAGCAGGUUAAUAGCGAGCUGUUAUGACGGUAAACAAAGAAAAAGCAACGGCUAACUUAGUG
RNAcentral lists this ribosomal RNA (492 nucleotides) under uncultured bacterium. RNAcentral's name for it is "partial 16S ribosomal RNA". It matches the Rfam family "Bacterial small subunit ribosomal RNA", at positions 29 to 507 of the family's 1533-position model. The record is from RNAcentral.